Molecule: long non-coding RNA, 887 nt
Filed under: Mus musculus (house mouse)
Lineage: Eukaryota; Metazoa; Chordata; Mammalia; Rodentia; Muridae
Description: long non-coding RNA chr3:131494819-131495706
Source: RNAcentral
UAGACCUAAGGGGGAACUCACUGUUUUGUUGCAUUGAGUUUACACAGUGUUAACUGACUUCUAAAUAUCUGCGUUUAUACCUUUAAACAAAUGAUUCCCUCAGCCUUAACCCUGGAAGCAUUUCUUGGCAAUGAACCGUGGCGAAUACAGAGACUCAUGGCUGCUCACAAAACACAGCGCAGGGGGAAGACGACACCCAGAGCACCACCCACAGUCAUGCCAGGCACGGUGCAGGCCAGGGAAGACACUCAGAACCUUGCCUGCAUCCAUGCCAUGUGACUCUGGAAGGUGGUGGAGACACCACCACCACCACCACCACCACCACCCUUGCCUGAUACCCUGUCAUGCUGAGCAGGUGGGUGAAGGACACCCAGAGACCCAUCUGCCAACAGGCCACUAGGUGCAGGUAGAGGACAACCAGAGGCCCUCUAGUCACAUGGCCUUCCCACAGCAGGAGCCACUGCAAUGUGCAAGUAUGGUGUGUACAGAUAGGACAGAGAGAGAAGAGGAACAGUUUGAGCAUUAUGAAGAAAGAUGGAACUGGAGAGGCAAGGGUGGAGAGGAAUACCCUGUUGUAAAUAGGCUGCCCCACCAUCUGAGGUCGCUGUGACAUGUCAUGCUGCCUCUGAGGGCCAUGUCUGGGUCCAUGGCCAUUCAGCAGGAGGGGUCUGUGUCGAUGUUAAUUAAUGGCUCAUAUUAUCAACAAAGAGUACACAGAUGUCCUUGGUCUGGGCCACCACCUGUAACCACACUGAUGUCUAAGGGCUGUGGAGAGCUGGCUUUGCCCUUCACUAGCUGAGGAACUCUGGAGAGCUGACCCUCCCUCUCACCGGCUACAACACUCAGGGAGAGUGGACUCUCUGCACCUUGCCUGGAUAGCACAGUAU